Molecule: ribosomal RNA, 526 nt
Filed under: uncultured bacterium
Lineage: Bacteria
Description: bacterial SSU rRNA
Rfam family: Bacterial small subunit ribosomal RNA
Source: RNAcentral
GACAUCCAGAGAACUUAGCAGAGAUGCUUUGGUGCCUUCGGGAACUCUGAGACAGGUGCUGCAUGGCUGUCGUCAGCUCGUGUUGUGAAAUGUUGGGUUAAGUCCCGCAACGAGCGCAACCCUUAUCCUUUGUUGCCAGCGGCUCGGCCGGGAACUCAAAGGAGACUGCCGGUGAUAAACCGGAGGAAGGUGGGGAUGACGUCAAGUCAUCGUGGCCCUUACGGCCAGGGCUACACACGUGCUACAAUGGCGCAUACAAAGAGAAGCGACCUCGCGAGAGCAAGCGGACCUCAUAAAGUGCGUCGUAGUCCGGAUUGGAGUCUGCAACUCGACUCCAUGAAGUCGGAAUCGCUAGUAAUCGUAGAUCAGAAUGCUACGGUGAAUACGUUCCCGGGCCUUGUACACACCGCCCGUCACACCAUGGGAGUGGGUUGCAAAAGAAGUAGGUAGCUUAACCUUCGGGAGGGCGCUUACCACUUUGUGAUUCAUGACUGGGGUGAAGUCGUAACAAGGUAGGCGUAGCGAG